RNAcentral lists this ribosomal RNA (494 nucleotides) under uncultured bacterium. RNAcentral's name for it is "partial 16S ribosomal RNA". It matches the Rfam family "Bacterial small subunit ribosomal RNA", at positions 28 to 507 of the family's 1533-position model. The record is from RNAcentral.
GACGAACGCUGGCGGCGUGCUUAACACAUGCCAGUCGAACGGUGAAGCGCCUUCCUUUUUGGUGGGUGUGGAUGAGUGGCGAACGGGUGAGUAACACGUGAGUAACCUGCCCCCUUCUUCUGGAUAACCGCAUGAAAGUGUGGCUAAUACGGGAUAUUCUGGGUCUGUCGCAUGAUGGGUCUGGGAAAGAUAUUGUUUCGGUGGGGGAUGGGCUCGCGGCCUAUCAGCUUGUUGGUGGGGUGAUGGCCUACCAAGGCGGUGACGGGUAGCCGGCCUGAGAGGGUGGACGGUCACACUGGGACUGAGAAACGGCCAAGACUCCUACGGGAGGCAGCAGUGGGGAAUAUUGCACAAUGGGCGCAAGCCUGAUGCAGCGACGCCGCGUGAGGGAUGGAGGCCUGCGGGUUGUGAACCUCUUUCGCCAGUGAAGCAGGCCUGCCUCGUUUGUGGGUGGGUUGACGGUAGCUGGAUAAGAAGCGCCGGCUAACUACGUG